CUGAAUCCAUUCCGAACUCAGAAGUAAAACGCAGUAACGCCGAUGGUAGUGUGGGGGCUCCCCAUGUGAGAGUAGGUCAUCGCCAGAG
RNAcentral lists this ribosomal RNA (88 nucleotides) under Nicoletella semolina. Lineage: Bacteria; Pseudomonadati; Pseudomonadota; Gammaproteobacteria; Pasteurellales; Pasteurellaceae. The record is from RNAcentral.